GGGGUUGUGGCUCAGUGUUUGAGUGCUUGCCUAGCACAUAUGAGGCACUGGGUUCGAUCCUCAGCACCACA
Molecule: transfer RNA, 71 nt
Filed under: Marmota monax (woodchuck)
Lineage: Eukaryota; Metazoa; Chordata; Mammalia; Rodentia; Sciuridae
Description: tRNA.Ala
Source: RNAcentral